Molecule: long non-coding RNA, 141 nt
Organism: Poecilia latipinna (sailfin molly)
Lineage: Eukaryota; Metazoa; Chordata; Actinopteri; Cyprinodontiformes; Poeciliidae
Exons: 2
Source: RefSeq, a predicted model, not a curated record
GAAAUAAUUCUAUUGCGCUAUCUGGGUUUCAGUUUUGCUUGAAUUUGAGUCGAAGAAUUCUAGCAGGAGAAGCUAAAACAAGGGCGACGCAGCUUCAAUCACGUCACACGGAUUGUGUGAAGGGUGUUGGCAAAAAAAAAA